GACGAACGCUGGCGGCGUGCUUAACACAUGCAAGUCGAGCGGUAAGGCCCUUUCGGGGGUACGACGAGCGGCGAACGGGUGAGUAACACGUGGGUGACCUGCCCUCAGCUCUGGGAUAAGCCUGGGAAACCGGGUCGUAAUACUGGAUAUGACUCCAUGACGCAUGUUGUGGGGUGGAAAGCCUUGUGCGGCUGAGGAUGGGCCCGCGGCCUAUCAGCUUGUUGGUGGGGUGGAUGGCCUACCAAGGCGACGACGGGUAGCCGG
RNAcentral lists this ribosomal RNA (264 nucleotides) under uncultured bacterium. RNAcentral's name for it is "partial 16S ribosomal RNA". It matches the Rfam family "Bacterial small subunit ribosomal RNA", at positions 28 to 290 of the family's 1533-position model. The record is from RNAcentral.